CCACAACAAGUUCACUGACCUUUACCAUGAACUGAUUAAUUUAUAAAAGUUGAAAAACGUAUUCGGGUGUUACCAUUUAGUGGUCAAUUGUACGGAAUAUGUACUGAACUGUGCAAUCUACUAAUAAAAGUUUCAAUCAAUCAAUCAAACCUCCUUGACUAACAUAGUCUGUCCAUAAACAGUGCAGUGUGCAGUACUCACCACAGGAUGGCAGUAGUGUUAGCAUGUGAUCCUGUCCAAACAAAGAAACAGGAAGUUGCAGUAGAAGGGGGAAGGUAGAAUUCCUAGUUGAGUCGUUCAGUUGAUGAAACAACACAGCAUAAUCAUGGAAGGCUUGGACUGAGGUAAAAUGGUCAUCAUUGUGUGCAUGUACAUUAUGCAUGACACGACUACCACUACAAAGAUGUGGGUACUUGCAGGUUACUGUGGUAGGCGCGUGGACUGCGGACCAGCAGCAAAGCUGGGUGUGGCAGAACCGGCUUUGAGAUUAGCGACAGGCCGCAGUCGGGAAGGAGAAGGUUGUUGGUGGUACCGAGAGUGAGAUACAGUGGCUGAAAAGCACAUAAAGAACAUUUAUUGAAAAAUAAAAAGUGGCAUCACAAAUAUGA
This is a long non-coding RNA of Nerophis ophidion (straightnose pipefish), 608 nucleotides long. RefSeq lists it as uncharacterized. The record is from RefSeq and is a predicted model, not a curated record. Lineage: Eukaryota; Metazoa; Chordata; Actinopteri; Syngnathiformes; Syngnathidae. The transcript has 4 exons.